Molecule: ribosomal RNA, 468 nt
Filed under: uncultured bacterium
Lineage: Bacteria
Description: partial 16S ribosomal RNA
Rfam family: Bacterial small subunit ribosomal RNA
Source: RNAcentral
GACGAACGCUGGCGGCGUGCUUAACACAUGCAAGUCGAACGGAAAGGCCCUGCUUUUGUGGGGUGCUCGAGUGGCGAACGGGUGAGUAACACGUGAGUAACCUGCCCUUGACUUUGGGAUAACUUCAGGAAACUGGGGCUAAUACCGGAUAGGAGCUCCUGCUGCAUGGUGGGGGUUGGAAAGUUUCGGCGGUUGGGGAUGGACUCGCGGCUUAUCAGCUUGUUGGUGGGGUAGUGGCUUACCAAGGCUUUGACGGGUAGCCGGCCUGAGAGGGUGACCGGCCACAUUGGGACUGCGAUACGGCCCAGACUCCUCCGGGCGGCAGUCGUGGGGAAUAUUGCACGAUGGCCGGCAGCCUGAUGCAGCCACGCCGCGUGCGGGAUGACGGCCUUCGCCUUGUCACACGCUUUCGCCUGUCCCGAAGCGUGGGUGACGGUAAUGGGUACAGCAGCACCGGCCCACUACGUG